This is a long non-coding RNA of Sardina pilchardus (European sardine), 1349 nucleotides long. RefSeq lists it as uncharacterized. The record is from RefSeq and is a predicted model, not a curated record. The transcript has 2 exons. NCBI's taxonomy places the organism in Eukaryota, Metazoa, Chordata, Actinopteri, Clupeiformes, Clupeidae.
GCCGGCGUGCCGUUAAAAAAACACCUGAUCCUUCAGCCCCGGGGCCGCCGAUAGCGCUAAUUGAAAAGCGCACACAUACACACACGCGCGCACCAUGCACACACACACACACACUCACACAAACACACACACACACACAGCAUUACCACCCCACCUCAACGCCUCGUGGGGCACAAUCACUCGCAAGUACAAAUUCUGGCCUGGCUUCCUCCCACCAGAGACAACGGCGUGACCUGAUAGCGCUGUAUGUUUUUUGAAUGCUCGCCUGUGCAUACUGAGUGGGCACAUUCACUCAGAGCCGCUCGGCUGAGGAGCUGCGAGCGCUGGGAGCGACUCCACGCAGCUCGCCUGGCGCUGGGGAGAGCAGACCGGGGGAAAAGUCGAGGAAGUGGCGGCCAGGCGGCAGGAGAGGAUGAAACGGGUCCGUGUCUCUCUCUCUCUCUCUCUCUCUGUCUCCCAUAAUUGAUAAGCUGUUGAGGGGGUGGGGGACAUCGGCGCGGCUGCCCGAGAGCAAGGCGCUGGAAUUAAAACUUCAAUCCGGCUGCCCAGGAAUCAAUUUCAGCCGUGGCCCCCAACAUUAUACAAAUGAGGAGAGGGGAGAUACAGACGGCAGAUGAUCGAGACACAGACUGUCCCUCGGCCGUCGCUCACGCUUUUUGUAUCCAGGCGCACGAUCUCCACUUCCCUUCACCAAGGUGGUCAACUCAACCUCCCUCCUUCUCUCCAAUCCUCCCUGUACUCCUCCACCUAAACCCCCUACCCCUGACUGAGCGGCAGUAAAGGAUGAUGGUCUUUUCACUCUACUGGUCCACUCUCGUUUGGUUAAAGGGCCGCUCCCACCAAGAACGAUAACUAUAACUAUAAUUGAAAUCAAGUCUUGUUCUAGCGAACAUGAAUGAUGACAUCCAGACAUAAACUAUAACGAUAACGACAUGAAGAACAAUACAGUUGGAGAUCACUUUCAGAGCAAUUUUGAGAACGAUAAAGAGCUAACGGCCAAUCGGAAUCCAUCAAACUUUAGACAUCACAUUCAUCAACACAUGGAUCAUUGGAUUCUGCAGAUACAGGCCCUGCUCACAGCUGCUCCCUGCUCUGUGGGAGAGCACUCCUGGGCCCAGCCCAUAAAACAGGUGAUGCCCUCUGGACGCAGUUCAUCUUACCUGCCAGGUGAAGACAGAAAGAUGUGUAAACACCCCCAAGGACUCCUAAAUGCUAAAUGCUAAACAUGAGAAAGACAAAUUGUGACUAGAGUGUCAAAGAAACUAAUAAUGACUCUCAUGUCACUAAACACAUGAUAUAUGGAAUAAAUGCAGUAUUAAAAAAUUGGCAUUGUCCACACACAAAAGUGA